GAUGAACGCUGGCGGCGUGCCUAACACAUGCAAGUCGAGCGAUUCUCUUCGGAGAAGAGCGGCGGACGGGUGAGUAACGCGUGGGUAACCUGCCCUAUACACAUGGAUAACAUACCGAAAGGUAUGCUAAUACAGGAUAAUAUGAGAGAGUCGCAUGGCUUUCUUAUCAAAGCUCCGGCGGUAUAGGAUGGACCCGCGUCUGAUUAGCUAGUUGGUAAGGUAAUGGCUUACCAAGGCGACGAUCAGUAGCCGACCUGAGAGGGUGAUCGGCCACAUUGGAACUGAGACACGGUCCAAACUCCUACGGGAGGCAGCAGUGGGGAAUAUUGCACAAUGGGCGAAAGCCUGAUGCAGCAACGCCGCGUGAGCGAUGAAGGCCUUCGGGUCGUAAAGCUCUGUCCUCAAGGAAGAUAAUGACGGUACUUGAGGAGGAAGCCCCGGCUAACUACGUG
Molecule: ribosomal RNA, 452 nt
Filed under: uncultured bacterium
Lineage: Bacteria
Description: bacterial SSU rRNA
Rfam family: Bacterial small subunit ribosomal RNA
Source: RNAcentral